CCUACGGGGGGCUGCAGUGGGGAAUCUUGCGCAAUGGACGAAAGUCUGACGCAGCGACGCCGCGUGAGUGAUGAAGGCCUUCGGGUUGUAAAGCUCUGUGGGGAGAGACGAAUAAGGUGCAGUUAAUAUCUGCAUCGAUGACGGUACCUCCUUAGCAAGCACCGGCUAACUCUGUGCCAGCAGCCGCGGUAAGACAGAGGGUGCAAAUGUUGUUCGGAAUCACUGGGCGUAUCACAUGUGUCGGCUGUCAAAGCCCAGGGCUCAACCUGGGAAGUGCAUUCGAUACUGUGUGACUGGAGUACUGGAGAGGUUGGUGGAAUUCUCGGUGUAGAGGUGAAAUUCGUAGAUAUCGGGAAGAACAUCUGUGGCGAAGGCGGCCAACUGGACAGAUACUGACGCUGAGACACGAAAGCGUGGGGAGCAAACAGGAUUAGAUACCCUUGUAGUC
RNAcentral lists this ribosomal RNA (448 nucleotides) under uncultured bacterium. Its description in RNAcentral is "partial 16S ribosomal RNA". It matches the Rfam family "Bacterial small subunit ribosomal RNA", at positions 338 to 795 of the family's 1533-position model. The record is from RNAcentral.